This 337-nucleotide unclassified non-coding RNA is filed under the name soil metagenome. RNAcentral's name for it is "partial contains 5.8S ribosomal RNA, internal transcribed spacer 2, and large subunit ribosomal RNA". The stretch from base 1 to 120 matches the Rfam family "5.8S ribosomal RNA", at positions 35 to 154 of the family's 154-position model. The record is from RNAcentral.
GAUGAAGAACGUAGCGAAAUGCGAUAAGUAGGGUGAAUUGCAGAAUUCAGUGAAUCAUCGAAUCUUUGAACGCACAUUGCGCCCCUUGGUAUUCCAUGGGGCAUGCCUGUUCGAGCGUCAUUUGUACCCUCAAGCUUUGCUUGGUGUUGGGUGUUUGUCCCGCGUUGCGCGUGGACUCGCCUUAAAGCGAUUGGCAGCCGGCAUAUUGGCCUUGGAGCGCAGCACAUUUUGCGCUUCUAGUCAUGAAUGUUGGCGUCCAUUAAGCCUAUACAUUUGCUCUUGACCUCGGAUCAGGUAGGGAUACCCGCUGAACUUAAGCAUAUCAAUAAGCGGAGGA